RNAcentral lists this ribosomal RNA (440 nucleotides) under Flavobacterium limicola. Its description in RNAcentral is "bacterial SSU rRNA". It matches the Rfam family "Bacterial small subunit ribosomal RNA", at positions 338 to 775 of the family's 1533-position model. Lineage: Bacteria; Pseudomonadati; Bacteroidota; Flavobacteriia; Flavobacteriales; Flavobacteriaceae. The record is from RNAcentral.
CCUACGGGAGGCAGCAGUGAGGAAUAUUGGACAAUGGGCGCAAGCCUGAUCCAGCCAUGCCGCGUGCAGGAUGACGGUCCUAUGGAUUGUAAACUGCUUUUAUACAGGAAGAAACAACUCUACGUGUAGAGUCUUGACGGUACUGUAAGAAUAAGGAUCGGCUAACUCCGUGCCAGCAGCCGCGGUAAUACGGAGGAUCCAAGCGUUAUCCGGAAUCAUUGGGUUUAAAGGGUCCGUAGGCGGUCAGAUAAGUCAGUGGUGAAAGCCCAUCGCUCAACGGUGGAACGGCCAUUGAUACUGUCUGACUUGAAUUAUUAGGAAGUAACUAGAAUAUGUAGUGUAGCGGUGAAAUGCUUAGAGAUUACAUGGAAUACCAAUUGCGAAGGCAGGUUACUACUAAUGGAUUGACGCUGAUGGACGAAAGCGUGGGUAGCGAACAG